This 729-nucleotide ribosomal RNA is filed under the name Pseudechiniscus aff. facettalis Ca1. RNAcentral describes it as "partial 28S large subunit ribosomal RNA". It matches the Rfam family "Eukaryotic large subunit ribosomal RNA", at positions 1087 to 1688 of the family's 3401-position model. Lineage: Eukaryota; Metazoa; Tardigrada; Heterotardigrada; Echiniscoidea; Echiniscidae. The record is from RNAcentral.
UUACUUGAUUUGAAGUCUGGACCAUUAAAUUGGAUGCAUGAUAACUAAGUGGGCCAUUUUUGGUAAGCAGAACUGGCGCUGUGGGAUGAACCGAACGUUGAGUUACGGCGCCUGAUUAUAGACGCUCAUCAGAUACCACAAAAGGUGUUGGUUGCUAUAGACAGCAGGACGGUGGCCAUGGAAGUCGGAAUCCGCUAAGGAGUGUGUAACAACUCACCUGCCGAAGCAACUAGCCCUGAAAAUGGAUGGCGCUAGAGCGUUUAGCCUAUACUCAACCGUUGUGGCACACGCUGCGGUAAGCAAUUACCGUAUUUGGUGCUUUUAUGGCACAUGCGUGCUAGUCAUGCCUCAACGAGUAGGAGGGUCGCGGCGGUAUGCUUUGAAGGCUUAGCGGCGUGAGCCGGGCUGGAGCUGCCGUCGGUGCAGAUCUUGGUGGUAGUAGCAAAUACUCAAGCGAGAACCUUGAGGACUGAAGUGGAGAAGGCUUCCAUGUGAACAGCAGUUGAACAUGGGUCAGUCGAUCCUAAAGCAUCGGCGAAGGCCGUUCAGAAGCGGUGUCGGUUAUGUGGCAGUAUGCUGUUUCGGCAGUAUGCUGUCCGGCUAUAGGCGCUUGCUCGUUUAUAGUCGCCGCACCUGCUGAAAGGGAAUUGGAUUAAUAUUUCCAAACCUAACAGCGGAGAUUGGUUGCUCAUUAGGCUGCACGGGCCUUGCGCUCGUGUCAGUCGGGGC